RNAcentral lists this ribosomal RNA (700 nucleotides) under uncultured bacterium. RNAcentral's name for it is "bacterial SSU rRNA". It matches the Rfam family "Bacterial small subunit ribosomal RNA", at positions 22 to 721 of the family's 1533-position model. The record is from RNAcentral.
GCUCAGAAUGAACGUUGGCGGCGUGGAUUAGGCAUGCAAGUCGAGGGAGAACCCGCAAGGGGGACACCGGCGAACGGGGUAGGAUCACGUAGGUGACGUACCCUCAGGGCGAGGAUAGCCACGGGAAACUGUGGGUAAUACUCGAUAACCUUCUCGAAUGUGAUGGUUUGAGAAGCAAUGGGUGUGAUUCCACCUGAGGAGCGGCUUACGCAGUAUCAGCUAGUUGGUGAGGUAACGGCUCACCAAGGCUUUGACGCUUAGGGGGUGUGAGAGCAUGGCCCCCACCACUGGCACUGAGACACUGGCCAGACACCUACGGGUGGCUGCAGUCGAGAAUCUUCGGCAAUGGACGAAAGUCUGACCGAGCGACGCCGCGUGCGGGAUGAAGGUCUUCGGAUUGUAAACCGCUGUCAGAGGGGAUGAAGUAUACGAGAGCUAUCUCUUGUAUUUGACAGAGCCUCAGAGGAAGCACGGGCUAAGUUCGUGCCAGCAGCCGCGGUAAUACGAACUGUGCGAACGUUAUUCGGAAUCACUGGGCUUAAAGGGUGCGUAGGCGGUUUUCUAAGUCACGUGUGAAAUCUUCCGGCUCAACCGGAAAACUGCGCGUGAUACUGGAUAACUUGAGUGAGGUAGGGGUGUGUGGAACUUCCGGUGGAGCGGUGAAAUGUGUAGAGAUCGGAAGGAACGCCAGCAGCGAAAG